This 426-nucleotide long non-coding RNA is filed under the name Pongo abelii (Sumatran orangutan). RNAcentral describes it as "lincRNA". The record is from RNAcentral. Lineage: Eukaryota; Metazoa; Chordata; Mammalia; Primates; Hominidae.
CAGGUAACUUUGAACACAUGGUAAGGAAAUACAUUCAUCUUUUCACGGAGAACUGCUCACCUAAUUGCUUGGUACAGUCAUGUUCAACGAUAUGAUAUGUAGUUGAUUAAAAAAUGACAAAUACUGUGGCCAGCUGCCCUUUUGAUGUCAAAUAAUGUGGAAGAUUGAACACCAUGCUGAUCCAUUAGCCAUUUCCAGGAAACAUUGCAGCGUUAUAAGAGAAAUUAUAGACUAUUUGUUGAAGCUCAGCGUGUCCAUCUCCCUGCUUUGAAGAAGGCAAGCUUCAUUAAAACCAACAUCUUACUUGGUCUAAAACAUCUUUGGAGUAGGAGAUUUAUGGCCUUUCUGGGAAGGUAGUUUUAAUUUUUAUAAACCUUAGAAUUAAGAAGUUCUUUUGUAAAUACAAUUACAAUUCUUUCACCUAGA